Molecule: ribosomal RNA, 448 nt
Filed under: uncultured bacterium
Lineage: Bacteria
Description: bacterial SSU rRNA
Rfam family: Bacterial small subunit ribosomal RNA
Source: RNAcentral
CCCAGACUCCUACGGGAGGCAGCAGUGGGGAAUAUUGCACAAUGGGGGGAACCCUGAUCCAGCGACGCCGCGUGAGUGAAGGAGUAUUUCGGUAUGUAAAGCUCUAUCAGCAGGGAAGAAAGAAAUGACGGUACCUGACUAAGAAGCCCCGGCUAACUACGUGCCAGCAGCCGCGGUAAUACGUAGGGGGCAAGCGUUAUCCGGAUUUACUGGGUGUAAAGGGAGCGUAGACGGUUACGCAAGUCUGGAGUGAAAGGCGGGGGCCCAACCCCCGGACUGCUCUGGAAACUAUUUGACUGGAGUGCAGGAGAGGUAAGCGGAAUUCCUAGUGUAGCGGUGAAAUGCGUAGAUAUUAGGAAGAACACCAGUGGCGAAGGCGGCUUGCUGGACAGUAACUGACGUUGAGGCUCGAAAGCGUGGGGAGCAAACAGGAUUAGAUACCCCAGUA